Molecule: long non-coding RNA, 507 nt
Organism: Acanthopagrus latus (yellowfin seabream)
Lineage: Eukaryota; Metazoa; Chordata; Actinopteri; Spariformes; Sparidae
Exons: 3
Source: RefSeq, a predicted model, not a curated record
UCCAGGCUCAUGAUGCUCUCCGUAUUGUAUUACUUUAUUAACUGCUUAGGAUUAUGACUGUAGUGUAGAGCCGAGCUGCCUGAAUCUGACCGGACCCAAGACCAGGAGACAGAUUUACUGAUACUGUAGCGGAAUCACAGUGUCUAAAAGACUGAAACCCUCCGGCGCCCAGUGAGGGAAAAGAAGGAAAGACGAAGAGGAAAAUUGUGAUGAAGACAGAGAUGUGCUUUUAACAUAUUUCACCACCAGCCCAGUGACACAGCAUCAGGUGCUCCUGUCCCUCUCCCUCAGCACAGCAGAGUGACACAGCAUCAGGCCUAAAGGCUGCACCAAUAGGCCCUGCUGACUGGCCAUCUAUUCUAACUGACAAAGUGAGAAUACGGACUUAAUAAGGAAAAGACUCAAGGACUGGAAAAAUGCAAGCCACUUGCUGAAGGUUCAUGAGGAUAGCUGGGAGCACAAUACCCGCAUGGCAACAUGAAAAGCGUUGGAGGUUGUUUUGCAAAG